Amblyraja radiata (thorny skate) is the source of this 135-nucleotide long non-coding RNA. RefSeq lists it as uncharacterized. Lineage: Eukaryota; Metazoa; Chordata; Chondrichthyes; Rajiformes; Rajidae. The record is from RefSeq and is a predicted model, not a curated record. The transcript has 3 exons.
UCGGGUCGAGACCCUUCUUCAGUCCGAGGGUCACCAAUGAGGUGGAUAGUAGUUCAGGACUGCUCUCUGGUUGUGGUAGGAUGGUUCAUUGCCUGAUAACAGCUGGGAAGAAACUGUCCCUGAAUCUGGAGGUGU